AACGAACGCUGGCGGCAUGCUUAACACAUGCAAGCCGAACGAGACCUUCGGGUUGAGUGGCGCACGGGCGCGGAACGGGUGGGAACUGGCUCUUAGGCUGGGAAUAACUCCGCGAAAGGGGUGCUAAUAGCGGACUAAUUCUUCGGACGAAAGGUGUGACGCCCUUGGGUGGGGCCGCGUUGGAUUAGCUAGUUGGUAGGGUUAAAGCCUACCAAGGCGACGAGCCAUAGCUUGUCUGAGAGGAAGGUUCGCCACACCUGGACUGGGACACGGCCCAGACUCCUACGGGAGGCAGCAGUGGGGAAUAUUGGACAGUGGGCGAAGGCCUGAUCCAGCACUGCCGCGUGAGUGAUGAAGGCCUUAGGGUUGUAAAGCUCUUUUACCCGGGAUGAUAAUGACGGUACCGAGAGAAUAAGCUCCGGCUAACUCCGUG
RNAcentral lists this ribosomal RNA (433 nucleotides) under uncultured bacterium. RNAcentral's name for it is "partial 16S ribosomal RNA". It matches the Rfam family "Bacterial small subunit ribosomal RNA", at positions 29 to 507 of the family's 1533-position model. The record is from RNAcentral.